AGCAUGUAUUUUUUUUUAUUAUUAUCAUAACACAUAUCAAAUAACAAUAAAUGCUAGUCAUAAUACUUCCUAUUACACGGUAAAGCAUACUAUUUAUAAUUUGUCUCCUUUUCAUAUCUACCCACGUCACAAAAAUACACAUAUAAAAAAACCAUCUUGCAUGGUUUAAAAUAUAAACAACUGUUCAAAAUUAUUCUGCAUUUAAGGAGGCUCGCGGGUAUAAGAUUUUCAGAAAAAAAUUAAACAUUAAUUUUUCAUUACAAAUUUUAUUGAUUACCUUAAGUAGCUGUUACUUUAUCAUAUGGUACAAAAUCAUUCCAAAAAAUCAAUUCGUGUUGGCCCCAGCGGACUUUUAAAAUGUAGAUGUCAUUGAAAAAGCUUCAAAUUAUCUCCCUUUGGUGCAAAAAUGCCAUUUUUUGGCAUAAAAAUUGAAAUAUCUUUUUUAACUCAUCGGUGACCUAUAUUUUUUAUUGUUGUUUUCAAAUAAGCUGUACAUAGACUAAAUAAUUGUAAAAUUUUAGCGAUUUCUGUAAUUUAGUUCUUUUUUAUUUCGAUAUUGCCGCUAUUUCUCCUAUUAGUUCAACAGAAAAAAAGGACAUUAACAAAAAUGUAUGCUCCUUUCGAAGGCGGAUUGUGAGCGUAAAUGAACGGUGACCCCAUUUUUUUAUUUCAUUUUUCUAUUAAGUAUAAGAUAAAGUUCAUUUAUAGAAAAAUAUAGAGAAAUCCUAUAUUAAAUAAAAAAUUUCAUUUAGACCCGCGAGCCCCCUUAAGAAGUGAAUGUUUCUUUUUGUAACUUCAUUGGGGUGUAAAAGCAUUGACUGAAGUACAUUUUGUAUGAAGCGCUUCAUACAAAAUGUAAACAUAAUUGAUUUUCUAUGAUCUAUGAUAGCAAUUAAAGGGCAACAAUCAAUGAUUUAUACAAAUGCUUAAUUUAAGCAGAUUUCAAUAACUGUUUAAAAUAUUUCUACUCAUAGAAUUUACAUGAAAUAUAACAAUAUGAAUCAACUACAUUCUUCAAAAGUCUUUCUGGCUUGUUGCGAGCAAUAUGAAAUAACAGUUGCAUAGUAUUAAAGAAAGCAGUAAUAAAAAAUUAUAAUUUCAGUAGAACGAACAAGUUUUUCAAUAUAUGGGUCAUUUUCAAAAAAUGUCGAAUUUGAAAUUGAAAAAUUUAUUAAAAGUUACUUAUUCAAACAACCCUCUACAUAAGCAAAUCAAAACAAACAGUACUUUAAGAACAACAUAUUAAAAGAUGC
Molecule: long non-coding RNA, 1253 nt
Filed under: Mytilus galloprovincialis (Mediterranean mussel)
Lineage: Eukaryota; Metazoa; Mollusca; Bivalvia; Mytilida; Mytilidae
Source: RNAcentral